AUCCAAGAUGGCGACGUAUCCACCGCGGAGGCUGCUGAGAGCAAGACCUUUACCCUCUGACCCCCGCCGUGACCCCCGUCGCUCCGGCUUCCCUCAAGGCGGCGGCGGCGGCGGCGGAAGGUGGGAGCGGCGAUUCAGAAAGGUUGGGGGUGGGUAGGCCGCUUCCCGCGCGCUGCUCGGAGGGUGAGGAGAGGCGUUUUACUCCCCCACCGCCCGCUCCGCGGCUUGCCCGAGCCUCUUCCCGACUACCAGGAGUCGUGUCGCUCUUCCGCUGCCGGUACAGCAAGCGGGGCCUCCGCGGCCGCUGCCGUUUCCGUCCGCAGCGCCGAAUCGCUUCUUCCAGGACUCGGGUCUUGGGCCCGAGAGCCCCCGCCACCCCCGGGGCCUGUGCACGCAUUUCCAGGGACCGGCAGCGCGUCACCGUCACCUCCCGAGAAAUCCCACUCCCCGGCCCUCACGGAAGCCUGAGCCAGCAGCCGGACCCUUUGAAAGCCUGGUUGGUUUGGUGGACACUUCGGAGUUGUCACAGUGAAAUUAAAGUUUGCAAUAUUGGCAUCUCUUUCUAUUCUUUUGUGUUCCCAUAA
RNAcentral lists this long non-coding RNA (584 nucleotides) under Oryctolagus cuniculus (rabbit). RNAcentral describes it as "lncRNA (ENSOCUG00000035843.1)". The record is from RNAcentral. Lineage: Eukaryota; Metazoa; Chordata; Mammalia; Lagomorpha; Leporidae.